AUACGUAUGGUGCAAGCGUUAUCCGGGAUUUACUGGGUGUAAAGGGAGCGUAGACGGCUGUGUAAGUCUGAAGUGAAAGCCCGCGGCUCAACUGCGGGACUGCUUUGGAAACUAUGCAGCUAGAGUGUCGGAGAGGUAAGUGGAAUUCCCAGUGUAGCGGUGAAAUGCGUAGAUAUUGGGAGGAACACCAGUGGCGAAGGCGGCUUACUGGACGAUGACUGACGUUGAGGCUCGAAAGCGUGGGGAGC
This 248-nucleotide ribosomal RNA is filed under the name uncultured bacterium. RNAcentral describes it as "partial 16S ribosomal RNA". It matches the Rfam family "Bacterial small subunit ribosomal RNA", at positions 523 to 769 of the family's 1533-position model. The record is from RNAcentral.